Long non-coding RNA from Balaenoptera acutorostrata (minke whale), 2896 nucleotides. RefSeq lists it as uncharacterized. The transcript is spliced from 5 exons. The record is from RefSeq and is a predicted model, not a curated record. Lineage: Eukaryota; Metazoa; Chordata; Mammalia; Artiodactyla; Balaenopteridae.
CACCUCACCUCUCACCACGUCCAGCAGCCCAGCACGUUCACCCCUGAAAUUCCCCAAGGAGGCCCAAAACCACAGGGCACCCAGACUGACUUAGCCCUAGAACAAGCAUCCCAGCCCUGCUCUGCUCUGGCCUGAACACAAGGAGAUGGGUCACAACGAGGGGAAAAUGCAACAUGAUGUGUACAGCACCAGGCACAAAAGUCGGUUGCGCUGAUGACAAACCCCAAGGAUCAGGAGAGAAGCGAGGCCAGGGCCCCCUUUGUACUUGCCCCGACCUCACCCCCACCCCCAGUGUGAGGACGGGGACUGUGCCCCAGGCCCUCUAAGCGGAAUUUGAUGUACAAGAGCACUCAAGUACACAAGUCUGCGCUCCGGAAUGUCUUAUCUAGGAGUCAACCCAGAUGGAUCUGUCUCCAAGCAGCUCUUUACGCAAGAUCGUCCAGUCCACAUCAAAGGAAGGGAGAGGCGCCGAUAGAGGUUAGAGGGAGAUCAAAGCUUUCUCAAGCCAUCCGUGGCUCCACCUCUGCACGUACCCAUGCCCAGAGGAUGCCCUCCCUCGUGGGCGCUCACAAUCCCGCACACACACAGGAUGCGGGGUCACCUGCAGCACCACCCCUCUCUGAGCGCCCUCACUCAGCACCCAGCGUUCUUUGUUCACCUACACACCUCUUACCCACCGCUCCCUUUAUACCUGCCUUUGUACCUGCACUAGCAGUUCCCCGAAGACAGGAAUUGGGGCUCCCUCUGUCUCUCUGGGCCCUCUAUUGCCCAGCAAUGCCCAACACAUGGUGAAGCACGUGACAGUGAGUGGAAGAAAAGGCUCCUUGAAUGGUUAACUGAAUCCUCCCGUUAGACAGAUGAGGAAACCGAGGUCCAGAAAAGACUGCCAGGUCAUUCUCCUCAGACCACGCCCCCUCCCCUGCUGGGCUCAAGCCAGCACAGACACAGGGAAGCCCAGAAGGAAGGGCCCAGUCUUCCUUCCUCCAGUGACUGCCUUCUUCCAGACACCUGAGAGUCAUGAGUGUAUCUGGGGUUCUUGAGGGCUGAAGAUGAGGUCCUGCUGUAAAGAAGCUGUGAAGUCUGAGUUUGCACUUCAGUGGAAGGCAGCGGCAGUGACAGCAGCGUGUGGAGGGGAAAACUGGAGCCUUAGCUCGGAAGUUCCCAGUGGAGCCCGGGGCAGUGGAAUCAGCAUGGACUCCAGAGCCAGGCCAGCCUGGUUUUGACUCCUGACUCUGACGCUCAGCUGGGGGGUGACUUGGCAAGUUACUUCAUCCAUGAGCCUCAGUUCCCCUCACCUGUCAUAUAGGAAUACUAAUAUCUACCUGACAAUAUAGUUGAGAUGAUUCAAUAAGAACAUAAGCAAAAGUGUCUGUUAUGGACUGAAUGUAUCUCCCUAGAAUUCCUAUGUUGAUACCCUAACCCCUAGUGGGGCUGUAUUUGGUGAUGGGACUCUAAGGAAGUAUAAUAAUUAAGGUUAAAUGAGAUCACUGAUCUGAUAAGGAUCAGUGUCCUUAAAAGAAAAGACAUUAGGGAAUUCCCUGGCAGUCCUGUGGUUUGGACUCCGUGCUCUCACUGCCGAGGGCCCCGGUUCAAUCUCUGGUCAGGGAACUAAGAUCCCACAAGCCGUGCCCAUGCGGCCAAAAGAAAAGACACUAGAGAGCCUCCCCACCACACCCCCGCCCCAAGUACAAACAGAAGAAAGGCUAUGUGGCGGGUGACAUGGCAACAAGGCCGCUGUCUACAACCCAGGAAGAGAGGUCUCACCAGAAACCAACUACACUGGCACCCUGACCUCAGAGUUGCAGCCUUCAGAACAGUGAGAAAAUUAAUUUCUGUGGUUUAAGCCAAAGAGUCUGCGGUAUUUUGUUAUGGCAGCCCAAUCUACUACAAUGACUAAAUAAGUAGGAGGCCAUAAUUGUUCUCCCUCUUGACGUCUCCAGUUUCCCCUCUACUCUCAGGAUGGAAUAAGAAAAGAACCUGCUGCUCCUUCCCCCACAGAUCAGAGGCCACUGGAAGGAAGGUAGUGGUGUCGGGUGGUGAAAUUGGUACCCCAAAGAUAUCCACAUCAAAUCCCUGGAACCUCUGAGUGUUCUCUUAUAGGGCAAAAGAUGUGAUUAAGUUAAGGAUCUUGGGAAGUGGAGCUUAUCCUGAAUUGUCCAGGUGGGCCCUCAGUAUCAUCCCAACUGUUCUUAUAAGGGAGAGGCAGAGGGACAGAGAGAGGAGAAGACAUACAUACACAGAGAAGGAAGCAUGAGGACAGUGGGAGACUGGAGCCAUGUGGCCACAAGUCAAGGAACGCCUGCGAGCACCAGAGGCUGGAAGAGGCCAGGAGCAGAUUCUUCCCCAGCAUCUCGGGAGGUAGUGGGGCCCUGCCAACACCUUGCUUUCAGACUUCUGGUCUCCAAAACCGUGAGAAUACAUGUCUAUUUUUGUACGCUAACCAGCUUAUGAUAUAGCAGCCAUGGGUAACUAAGAUAGGGUUAUUGGUCCUGCCUCCAACUCAGCCAGCCCCCUGCCUCUGUACCUUUCAUCUCCUAGCCACACCUGGACCUGGACCCCCCAGGCACUCGCCCACUAAGCCCUAAAGCCCAAUCCUAAGUGGGAUGGGACACCUGCCACCCACAGCGUAGGCUGAGUCACAGCUGCCACCUGAAUCCACUGGACUCAGCACCAGUUCUCUGCGCCAUCAGACCCCAGUAGGAGUGGGAGGUGGUGUGCCUCCUGGGGCCAAGUAUGGUUAGUGGGGAAAAAACACUAACUUGGGAAAGUCAGGGGGUCUGCAUUUAAAUUUUGCCUCUCUAUGAACUUGAGCAAGUCACUUGAGCUCUCCGGGCCACAGUUUUCUCAUCUGCCGAUGCCUGGAUUGAAGUGCGUGAUUUUCCUGGGCACGUGCAAU